This 507-nucleotide ribosomal RNA is filed under the name Bacillus licheniformis. RNAcentral describes it as "bacterial SSU rRNA". It matches the Rfam family "Bacterial small subunit ribosomal RNA", at positions 29 to 517 of the family's 1533-position model. The record is from RNAcentral. Lineage: Bacteria; Bacillati; Bacillota; Bacilli; Caryophanales; Bacillaceae.
GUGAACGCUGGCGGCGUGCCUAAUACAUGCAAGUCGAGCGGACAGAUGGGAGCUUGCUCCCUGAUGUUAGCGGCGGACGGGUGAGUAACACGUGGGUAACCUGCCUGUAAGACUGGGAUAACUCCGGGAAACCGGGGCUAAUACCGGAUGCUUGAUUGAACCGCAUGGUUCAAUUAUAAAAGGUGGCUUUUACCUACCACUUACAGAUGGACCCGCGGCGCAUUACCUAGUUGGUGAGGUAACGGUUCACCAAGGCAACGAUGCGUAGCCGACCUGAGAGGGUGAUCGGCCACACUGGGACUGAAACACGGCCCAAACUCCUACGGGAGGCAGCAGUAGGGAAUCUUCCGCAAUGGACAAAAGUCUGACGGAGCACCGCCGCUUGAGUGAUAAAGGUUUUCGGAUCGUAAAACUCUGUUGUUAGGGAAAAACAAGUCCCGUUCAAAUAGGGCGGUACCUUGACGGUCCCUAACCAGAAAGCCACGGUUAAUUACGUCCCAGCAGCCG